AGAGUUUGAUCCUGGCUCAGGAUGAACGCUGGCGGCGUGCUUAACACAUGCAAGUCGAACGAAACACCUUAUUUGAUUUUCUUCGGAACUGAAGAUUUGGUGAUUGAGUGGCGGACGGGUGAGUAACGCGUGGGUAACCUACCCUGUACAGGGGGAUAACAGUCAGAAAUGACUGCUAAUACCGCAUAAGACCACAGCACCGCAUGGUGCAGGGGUAAAAACUCCGGUGGUACAGGAUGGACCCGCGUCUGAUUAGCUGGUUGGUGAGGUAACGGCUCACCAAGGCGACGAUCAGUAGCCGGCUUGAGAGAGUGAACGGCCACAUUGGGACUGAGACACGGCCCAAACUCCUACGGGAGGCAGCAGUGGGGAAUAUUGCACAAUGGGGGAAACCCUGAUGCAGCGACGCCGCGUGAGUGAAGAAGUAUCUCGGUAUGUAAAGCUCUAUCAGCAGGGAAGAAAAUGACGGUACCUGACUAAGAAGCCCCGGCUAACUACGUGCCAGCAGCCGCGGUAAUACGUAGGGGGCAAGCGUUAUCCGGAAUUACUGGGUGUAAAGGGUGCGUAGGUGGUAUGGCAAGUCAGAAGUGAAAACCCAGGGCUUAACUCUGGGACUGCUUUUGAAACUGUAAGACUAGAGUGCAGGAGAGGUAAGCGGAAUUCCUAGUGUAGCGGUGAAAUGCGUAGAUAUUAGGAGGAACAUCAGUGGCGAAGGCGGCUUACUGGACUGAAACUGACACUGAGGCACGAAAGCGUGGGGAGCAAACAGGAUUAGAUACCCUGGUAGUCCACGCCGUAAACG
Molecule: ribosomal RNA, 802 nt
Filed under: uncultured bacterium
Lineage: Bacteria
Description: bacterial SSU rRNA
Rfam family: Bacterial small subunit ribosomal RNA
Source: RNAcentral